AGACUCAUAGUGUAACGGUUAGCACAAGUGAUUUUGGUUCAUUUAGUCGGGGUUCGAAUCCCUGUGAGUCUA
RNAcentral lists this transfer RNA (72 nucleotides) under Bergeyella zoohelcum. RNAcentral describes it as "tRNA-Gln(ttg)". It matches the Rfam family "tRNA". From Rfam's summary of the family: Transfer RNA (tRNA) molecules are approximately 80 nucleotides in length. Their secondary structure includes four short double-helical elements and three loops (D, anti-codon, and T loops). The record is from RNAcentral. RNAcentral also lists the same sequence under 1 other name. Lineage: Bacteria; Pseudomonadati; Bacteroidota; Flavobacteriia; Flavobacteriales; Weeksellaceae.